UUUUUUUUUUUUUUUUUUUUUUAAGAUUUUAUUUAUUUGACAAAGAGAGAAAGGAGAGAGGGAGCACAGCAGGGGGAGUGGCAGGCAGAGGGAAAGGGAGAAGCAGGCUCCCCAUCAAGCAGAGAGACCAACAUAGGGCUUGAUCCCAGGACCCAGGGAUCAUGACCUGAGCUGAAAGCAGAGGCUUAACCCAACUGAGCGACCCAGGUGCCCCAACUCCAGCACUUCUUCAACCUCAUCUCAAUGACAAGUUUUUCAUUAUACAUUAUUGUUUCCAUGUCCUUUCCCCCACUACCCACCCUACCAAACUAAGCUUCCACAGUACAUUUAUAUUAACCCCUUACAAACAUCCUUUUCUUCUUUGCUCUGUUCUCCCUCUGUUGCACCUGCCUGGCAAAUGCCAACCCAAGUUAAACCCAACCCUUUGCCUACUCCAUGAUUGUACCUACAUGUUGCUAGAGAAGAACACUUAAAUGCACAGAAUGGUUUCACUUUAAAUUCAGGACCAUGAAUCUCAAAUGAGCACUCAACAUUGUCCUACUAUCCUAUUAAACUACUUUAAUAAGGUCACUUGUGUAUUCUCCAAAAUAACUAUUUCAUACUUUAUCUUGUCUCCUCAAAUCUAUACUCACUCUCUCUUCCCCUCUCCAUCUCAGGUCACUGAGAAAAUACAAGCAAUCUCAUGAGAAUUCACUCUUCCCUCUGCUACCACAUCUACUACCUGACCCACACCUAUACAUAUAUCCUCUUCUCUCCCCUGUGUUAAAAUGCAGUGUCCCUGCUUCUGUCAGAACACAACUCUUCCACUUGGGCACUGGUUCAAUCUCCACUCACCCUCUCAAAACUCACUGCUGCAGUAAGCCUUUUCCUUUUUUUCCUAAUUUUCAAUUUCUUUCUCUGCAAAAUCUUUCUUGUUGAGGCAGAUUAUUUAAAAAACACUUUCGUGUACUCACAUUCCCUGCAAGUACUCUCCCCUUUCUCUCCUUUCCUUCUUAGCACAAUUUCUUGAACCAAGCUUUUAGUAGCUCCCUCCACUUCCUUACCUCCCAUUUGCUCCCCAGAUGUCUCCAAUCUUCAAUUACUAUUGUGCUUAUUUUUUAUAGACUAGAGGAAUCUGUUACAAUCUUCUUAUAACUCUGGGACUCUCUCGGCCAAAUACUCUCUCUACAAGCCUUCCAAAUGAGCAAAUAGGUAAGUUUUACUACUUCAGGGUGCCUUUCUUUAGUUUGCCCUAGUCUUACAAGAGCUAGAGAAUCCAAUCAACAGUAUGUACAGUGGAGUUUGGCCUGCAGGCAUGAUAAGAGUAGGUGGAAAAGGGUGUGCCUUCUCAGAGAGGAAGUAAGGGCAACACCUCAAAUUCUUGGAAGUGGAGGUGCGCCUGACUCAACUGUGAGGGUAAGACUACAGGGAGGUACAUGAGGCAACCACCUGAAGUCAUUUCAGCACUACUCUCUGCUCCAAGCAAAUCAAGAAUUUCAAUUUUCUUGCAACUUAACAACAAAAAGAUAACAGGAUUAAAAAAUGGGUAAAGGACUUAAAAGGACAUUUCUCAAAAAAAAAUAUAUACAUAUAUAAAUGUUCAAUAAGCACAACAAAAUAUGUUCAACCUUAUUCGUCCUUUGGGAAAUGCAAAUAAAAACCACAAUGAGGGGUGCCUGGGCAGCUCGGGUGGAUGAGUGUCCAGCUCUUGGUUUUAACUCAGGUCAUGAUCUUUGGUCAUGAGAUCAGGCCCCUCAUGAGCUUGGCACUCAGGCCAGAGUCUGCUUGAGAAUUCUUUCCCCAUUCACCUCCCCUCUGCUUCCCCAACUCCUGUUUGUAGUGUGUGCUCUUGCACUCUCUCUCUCUCUCCCUCAAAUAAAUAAAUAAAAAUCAAAAAAAUAAAAAACUUAAAAAACCCCACAAUGAGACACUACUUUGUACCUACCAGGAUGACUAUAAUCAAAACCAGAAAAUAAGUACUGAAAACGAUGUGGAGAUAUCAGAACUCUCAUAUACUGCUGGUGGGAAUGUAAAAUGAUGCAGCUGCUAUGGAAAACAGUUCGGCCAUUCCUUAAGAAGUUAGAAGCUAAAACUGUCACAUGACCCAGCAAUUCCACUCCUAGGUGUAUACUCAAGAGAAAUGAAAACAGGUGUCCAAACAAAACUUCUGAAUGUUCAUAGCAGCAAUAUUCACAAUAGCCCAAAAAUGGAAACAACAAAGGGUGAUAUACUCCUACAAGGGAAUGCUUACUGUUCAGCCAUAAAAAGGAAUGAAGUUCUGACUCAUGCUACAACAUGGAUAAACCUUGACAACAUGGAACUAAGUGAGAGAAGCCAGAUACUAAAAUCCACACACUGUAUGAUCCAUUUAUAUGAAUAUAAUAAUAGGCAAAUCUAUACAGACAACAGAUAAGACUGCUGGGUGCUGGAGGAGAGGGAAAAUGGCCCGUGACCAUGGGUAAGGGUUUCUUUUGGGGGGUGAUGAAAUGUUCUAUCAGAGAGUGGAGAUGGUUGCACAAUAUUGCAAUUUUAUGUUACAUGAACUUUACCUCAAUUAAAAAUAAAAAGAAAUUCCCAGUCUUCUCAAAAUGCUGAACCAAGAAGAAAAGACAGGGCAUAAAAGCCCUGUGUUUAAAAACAAGCAUGGUGGAGUGCCUGCAUGGCGCAGUCAGUUAAGCCUUCAACUUUUGGUUUUGGCUUAAGUAGUGAUCUCAGAGUCUUGAGAUUGAGCCCCGAGUUGAGCCCCAUGUCAGGCUCUGCACUCAGCAUAGAGUCUGCUUGUCAUUCUUUCCCCCUCUCCCUAUGGCCCCUUCUGGUCAUGCUCUCUCUUUCUCUAAAACAACUAAAUAAAUCUUAAAAACAGGCAUAGCAAGGCAAGCUCCUAAUGAAUUACUUUCACAACAAAUCAGUCUUUGCUCUACCCAAAAACUUAAGAGAAUCACACACAAAUGGGCCAAGGUAAAAUAAACUGACGUAUUAAUUUCUGAAAACUAACUUUAAUGUUAUAAGUGUAAACACUAAAUAUUUAGAUUAAUGAGUUAAUUAAGUACUUUGGGAGAACUAAUGAACAAACAAGGGUAAGGAAACUUCUAUGUGCUCACAUUACUACUUUCCAAUUGAGGAACAUAUUUAUACAACUAAAAAAAUAGAGAUAUGGCAACCGGAAACCCAUAAAAGGAAUGGGAACAGUGAAAACAAGCAAGAGCUCAAAGCUACCACAAGCACAGAUUGAUGACUCAUAGGCACCUCCCUUUGCUGAUUUGUCUAGGUCAGCAGAGGGCAGAACUGGAGAACUACAAAUAUACAAUAUCAAAGAGCUAUUUAUAAAGCUUUCCCCCCAAAUGUGCUUUCUUUUCAUUAAGAAAGAGAAAAGGGAAAAUAAUAGUUAUACCUCUCAGUAUCACCAAAGAUUACUACGGUUCUCAAACUCUAAGCUAAACCUAUAGGCCAAACAACCUAGAGUCUUUGCUCACAUUGCUUGCAGUACUCUAAAGGGCACCAGGAGGUCAGCUCACAUCACCCAGUGACACUUCUCCAUCUGGGGUGAUCCAGGAGCUCAUACCAUGAUGAAAUUACUCUACAGACCAGACGUCACAGCUGCCACUUGUCCCAACUCUACACACACCCAAGUUACCAUGGAACUGGUACAAACAGAAUGGAGUUUAAUAUGCUAUUAGCUCUGAUCUAAGUAGCUGACAUAACACCAAUUAAAUUUAUAAUGACACUGGAAUAAUAAAAGAGCACUUGGCACACUUCUUUGCAAACAUGAUUCAAAGGGUGGUUUUCACUUAGCCCUUUCUUCAAUUUCCAGAUGCUAGAUCACUUAGGAGCCACUUACAAUCUUUCUAUUCAAAGAGUUGGUGGUGUUUAGGAGGGUUAUCAUUUCAUAAGAAAAGGACUACUAACUUAUAAGGCCCAGCUACUAGGAAUAUUCAACUACAGUACAGCAACCUCCAUUUCUUGCAGGGUAAAAUGAUUAUUGUGGUUGGAAUCUAGAAUCUUGAGUUCCUACUCAUCUUCCUCUCUUUCCCUGAUUCUAGUUCUGGCUCUAUGAAGAAUAUUUGAUCUCUACUUUUAAAACACAGGGAAAAAUAAAAUAAAAUAAAUAAAAAAUAAAUAAAACACAGGGAAAGGCCAUGAAAUUCAUGAGAUGGCUUCACCAAGGAAUCCAUGGCUAUUAGGAAAUAAGAGCAGCAGAGCAGCAGACAUCACUAAUCUGCUGGCACUUGCAUCCUUGAGCCCCUCAACUAGCCCUACCAAUGGUUGUAUUUAUGCUAUGCAUGGAAGAAGUCACUGGGCCCUCUGGGCACACUGACAUGAUAUAUACUGAAGCUAUAGAUAAUGGGUCCUUUGCUCUUAUGGAAUACCCUAGAGUAAUUUAAAUGAGUGAACUACAUAUAUUAGUGUGGGGAGAACUUAAAAAAAAAAAAGUUACUGAAAGAUACGAACACUAUGAUGUUAUUUGUUAAAUAUAAGAUGCCAAAAAACAUGGAAUGGAAAGAUACAUACAAAAAACUGGACAGUAGUUACUUCUGGUGAAUGGGAAGAAAACUGAGGUGGGCCUGGAAAGGAAGUUACAAAGGAGAUGUCAAUUUCAUUAGUAUUGUUUUAUUUUUGUAAAAUAAUAAUGAAAAAGUAAAUAUUACAAAAUAUUAACAUUAAUCCUGGGUAGUGAACAGGUGUUCAUUAAGUUAGCUUUGUAUAUUUAUCUUCAAUUUUUUUCCAAAUUUAAAAAAACACUUUAUCUUAUAAACAUUUGGUGGCAAUAUGCUCAAUAGUAAGUCGCUCCUGAGCAUCCACCAUAUGUAAACAACAAAUCUUCUAUUUAUUGAGCAUUUACUUGAUAAUAAAUGCAUAGUGUCAAAUGAUUUACAUGUAUAAUGUUAAAAGGUAGGCAUCUGGCAGGGGGUGGGGGGGGGGGCGGUGCCUGGCUGGCUCUGUUGGUAGAACAUGAGACUCUUGAUCUCAGGGUUGUGAGUUCAAGCCCCACGGUGAGUACAGAGAUUACUGCCGCUCCCUCCCUACAAAAGGCAGAAAUUUUUAAAAGGAGAAAUGCUUAUCCUCCUCACCUCCUUUGUUCCUCAGCUAUAGCCCUGGCCUCAAUUUACUCUCAGGAAGAUUAGUGGAUUUUCUGACCAGGAAAAAAGUAAUGUUGCUCAACCCCUUCUGCUCUGCCAGGAUCUGCCUGCUUGCAACAGGUACGUAUUUUCCUCAUUUGUUUGACAGUCUCAGCGUGCCUCUGCAGCAAGAGACCCGUGGUUGUCCCACAAAUGCAGAGAUUUGCUGGAGAAAUUAAUCUCAUCAGUAUGCCUAAUUCUGGAUCCAUUCAGAAACUGCUGUUAUUGCUGCAUACUGAAGCCAUAUUCUUCAACAUUAUAUUUAACUAAUAGAGAAAAAAUAUAUAAAAAAUUUUAUCUCGGCAGCCCCGGUGGCUCCACAGUCUAGCGCCACCAUCAGUCUGGGGCCUGAUCCUGGAGACCUGGGAUCAAGUCCCAAAUCGGGCUCCCUGCAUGGAGCCU
RNAcentral lists this long non-coding RNA (5498 nucleotides) under Canis lupus familiaris (dog). RNAcentral describes it as "lncRNA (ENSCAFG00000058676.1)". The stretch from base 4905 to 4977 matches the Rfam family "tRNA". Lineage: Eukaryota; Metazoa; Chordata; Mammalia; Carnivora; Canidae. The record is from RNAcentral.